RNAcentral lists this ribosomal RNA (1323 nucleotides) under uncultured bacterium. Its description in RNAcentral is "partial 16S ribosomal RNA". It matches the Rfam family "Bacterial small subunit ribosomal RNA", at positions 28 to 1381 of the family's 1533-position model. The record is from RNAcentral.
GAUGAACGCUGGCGGCGUGCCUAACACAUGCAAGUCGAGCGAACCCUUCGGGGUGAGCGGCGGACGGGUGAGUAACGCGUGGGUAACCUGCCCUGUACACACGGAUAACAUACCGAAAGGUAUGCUAAUACGGGAUAACAUAUGAGAGUCGCAUGGCUUUUGUAUCAAAGCUCCGGCGGUACAGGAUGGACCCGCGUCUGAUUAGCUAGUUGGUAAGGUAACGGCUUACCAAGGCAACGAUCAGUAGCCGACCUGAGAGGGUGAUCGGCCACAUUGGAACUGAGACACGGUCCAAACUCCUACGGGAGGCAGCAGUGGGGAAUAUUGCACAAUGGGCGAAAGCCCGAUGCAGCAACGCCGCGUGAGCGAUGAAGGCCUUCGGGUCGUAAAGCUCUGUCCUCAAGGAAGAUAAUGACGGUACUUGAGGAGGAAGCCCCGGCUAACUACGUGCCAGCAGCCGCGGUAAUACGUAGGGGGCUAGCGUUAUCCGGGAAUUACUGGGCGUAAAGGGUGCGUAGGCGGUCUUUCAAGCCAGAAGUGAAAGGCUACGGCUCAACCGUAGUAAGCUUUUGGAACUGUAGGACUUGAGUGCAGGAGAGGAGAGUGGAAUUCCUAGUGUAGCGGUGAAAUGCGUAGAUAUUAGGAGGAACACCAGUAGCGAAGGCGGCUCUCUGGACUGUAACUGACGCUGAGGCACGAAAGCGUGGGGAGCAAGCAGGAUUAGAUACCCUGGUAGUCCACGCCGUAAACGAUGAGUACUAGGUGUCGGGGGUUACCCCCCUCGGUGCCGCAGCUAACGCAUUAAGUACUCCGCCUGGGAAGUACGCUCGCAAGAGUGAAACUCAAAGGAAUUGACGGGGACCCGCACAAGUAGCGGAGCAUGUGGUUUAAUUCGAAGCAACGCGAAGAACCUUACCUAAGCUUGACAUCCCAUUGACCUCUCCCUAAUCGGAGAUUUCCCUUCGGGGACAAUGGUGACAGGUGGUGCAUGGUUGUCGUCAGCUCGUGUCGUGAGAUGUUGGGUUAAGUCCCGCAACGAGCGCAACCCUUGCCUUUAGUUGCCAGCAUUAAGUUGGGCACUCUAGAGGGACUGCCGAGGAUAACUCGGAGGAAGGUGGGGAUGACGUCAAAUCAUCAUGCCCCUUAUGCUUAGGGCUACACACGUGCUACAAUGGGUGGUACAGAGGGUUGCCAAGCCGUGAGGUGGAGCUAAUCCCUUAAAGCCAUUCUCAGUUCGGAUUGUAGGCUGAAACUCGCCUACAUGAAGCUGGAGUUACUAGUAAUCGCAGAUCAGAAUGCUGCGGUGAAUGCGUUCCCGGGUCU